This 655-nucleotide ribosomal RNA is filed under the name uncultured bacterium. RNAcentral's name for it is "bacterial SSU rRNA". It matches the Rfam family "Bacterial small subunit ribosomal RNA", at positions 232 to 885 of the family's 1533-position model. The record is from RNAcentral.
CGCGGCCUAUCAGCUUGUUGGUGGGGUGACGGCCUACCAAGGCGACGACGGGUAGCCGGCCUGAGAGGGUGUCCGGCCACACUGGGACUGAGAUACGGCCCAGACUCCUACGGGAGGCAGCAGUGGGGAAUAUUGCACAAUGGGCGCAAGCCUGAUGCAGCGACGCCGCGCGGGGGAUGACGGCCUUCGGGUUGUAAACCUCUUUCACCAUCGACGAAGGUCCGGGAUUUCUCGGAUUGACGGUAGGUGGAGAAGAAGCACCGGCCAACUACGUGCCAGCAGCCGCGGUAAUACGUAGGGUGCGAGCGUUGUCCGGAAUUACUGGGCGUAAAGAGCUCGUAGGUGGUUUGUCGCGUUGUUCGUGAAAUCUCACGGCUUAACUGUGAGCGUGCGGGCGAUACGGGCAGACUGGAGUACUGCAGGGGAGACUGGAAUUCCUGGUGUAGCGGUGGAAUGCGCAGAUAUCAGGAGGAACACCGGUGGCGAAGGCGGGUCUCUGGGCAGUAACUGACGCUGAGGAGCGAAAGCGUGGGGAGCGAACAGGAUUAGAUACCCUGGUAGUCCACGCCGUAAACGGUGGGUACUAGGUGUGGGUUUCCUUCCUUGGGAUCCGUGCCGUAGCUAACGCAUUAAGUACCCCGCCUGGGGAGUACGG